CAAACCAGCCCGUGUCUGCGGUACUCGACAAAACAGAAGAAGGGAAGGGAAAAGAAAAAGGGGGAAAAACAAAAUCGUUAACGGUGGAAAAUUAUCGAGUAUCGAUUAGACCGAAUGGAAACGAUUGUAGUAACGAAAUGAUCAUAGAAUGGGCAGUACGAUCGUUUCACAAAUGGACACAUUGGAUGAGUGACUAGCUUAGAAUGGCCACACACGAACAGAAAUAAAGGUACGAUGCGAGCGGUCGAUAAUUAUUUAAAAUUUACUAUCAAUAUAGUACAUUGUUUGUCAUAUUAUACUAUGUACCUCUGCUAAUAAUAUUCUGUUUCUCGAUUCCGUAAACUGUCGGAUCCUAUUUUGACCACCAUCCAGUGCGAUACUUGCCCAUAAUUCAUCUCUCUCAAACAUAUCGAUUGGCGAUCGCAUUGGCAGCAUUUAAAAUCGAUUUUAAGCUUCGUACCACGCUCCGAACAGAGCGAACGAAUUCGGUCAGUCUUACUGUUCAAUUCCAUCCUAGCGCACACGAUUCGGUUCGUUCGGUCAUCAAGGUAACCGAAGUUGCUCGAGUGCCCACAAUUCGCGACCUGUAUCGAGCGUGACUUAUUCCACCUUUUUAUCCUGAUAUCCAUCCCUUCACCGUAUCCCACCAAGCGAUGGGUAACGCGCCAAACCCGAAGCAAUACACGAAGUACAGCAAAAACACGGCCGAGGUGCGGGUGAAGAAAUGCGUCCCGGUGCAACGGGGCAUGUUUCGGCUGGGUAGCGGCAAUCUCUUCUAUCUGAUACUGAUCAAAAUCUUUACCAUUCUCAACAACAUUGUCAACAAGUGUUUAUAGUGUUGUGCGUUUGUUUUAUCUGUAACUGUCGCGAAUUCAUUCCGUUCCCGAUCCGUUUCGAUACGACUGUAACGGAUGCUGGAUGCGGAACCAAAUCGUCCAAUGUUGUGUCCGUCCCAAAAUGUACCAACAUUUAAACCUUUCCUGCUUCAUCGUGUCGGUGAUCAUGAUGUGAUUUGUUUCUCAGAGCAGUCAGAAAUGAUCAGCUGCUGCCGGGAAAGGAAGAUCCCCAAACCAGAGCUACGGUGCCGAGGUAAAUUAUGAUCGAUGGCUAAUGGAUUGUGACUGGAUGCACAGCCAAGAGAAAUGCCAAGCAGCUUACGCUUCAUCUCCCGCUGUUCGGCCACCGAUCGGGUGCAGUCAAUGUGGUUCAGUGUUUGGCGCCAAAGUAUGCCCGGUGUUUAAUGCAACAUGUGGGCAGCCGUCUCUUCUGUCGGUGGAUGUGGUAUUUUCGUGUGUUUACUUUAGUGGAUAUAGAUUGAGCUAAGUGAACGAUAGGAACUACAUGUGACUGCUUAUUAGCAUAUGUGUUGUGUAAGGAAUUUUCCAACAAAUAUACAAGUACAAUCAUACGCGAUCACAGGCGAUCGAAGGUUUGA
Anopheles funestus (African malaria mosquito) is the source of this 1435-nucleotide long non-coding RNA. RefSeq lists it as uncharacterized. NCBI's taxonomy places the organism in Eukaryota, Metazoa, Arthropoda, Insecta, Diptera, Culicidae. The record is from RefSeq and is a predicted model, not a curated record. The transcript has 2 exons.